This 253-nucleotide ribosomal RNA is filed under the name uncultured bacterium. RNAcentral's name for it is "partial 16S ribosomal RNA". It matches the Rfam family "Bacterial small subunit ribosomal RNA", at positions 524 to 776 of the family's 1533-position model. The record is from RNAcentral.
UACAGAGGGGGCAAGCGUUGUUCGGAAUUACUGGGCGUAAAGGGCGCGUAGGCGGCCUGUUAAGUCAGACGUGAAAUCCCUCGGCUCAACCGGGGAAUUGCGUCUGAUACUGGCGGGCUUGAAUUCGGGAGAGGGAUGUGGAAUUCCAGGUGUAGCGGUGAAAUGCGUAGAUAUCUGGAGGAACACCGGUGGCGAAGGCGGCAUCCUGGACCGACAUUGACGCUGAGGCGCGAAAGCCAGGGGAGCAAACGGG